UACGAAGGGGGCUAGCGUUGUUCGGAUUUACUGGGCGUAAAGCGCGUGUAGGCGGGCUGGUAAGUUGGGGGUGAAAUCCCGAGGCUCAACCUCGGAACUGCCUCCAAAACUGUCAGCCUGGAGCAAGAUAGAGGCAAGUGGAAUUGCGAGUGUAGAGGUGAAAUUCGUAGAUAUUCGCAGGAACACCAGUGGCGAAGGCGACUUGCUGGAUCUUUGCUGACGCUGAGACGCGAAAGCGUGGGGAGCAAACAGG
RNAcentral lists this ribosomal RNA (253 nucleotides) under uncultured bacterium. Its description in RNAcentral is "partial 16S ribosomal RNA". It matches the Rfam family "Bacterial small subunit ribosomal RNA", at positions 524 to 776 of the family's 1533-position model. The record is from RNAcentral.